UUUAGGACAGGCAAACGUCGCCCUAUAAACCCACAAAUAGUGUCCUAUUUUAGUAUAGAUUGAUAAAAAAAAAUCAUAUACUGAGAUUUGAGAAAAGAAGAUGCAACAAAAUACUCGCAUUUGGACCCACUUUUUGGAUAACAUAAUAGUGAAUGUAUCUUUGACAAAAGCUCUUUAUUUCACCUAAUAUUAACACUUUAAAAAAAAAUGUACAAAAACAAUAAGUUGAAAUCCAACGUUAUUCCUCCAGCAUCUCCUAUAGUCCAUGUCCAUAGGGCUGAGCAGAAUUCAGUUCAAACCGAAAAACCGAACCG
This 314-nucleotide unclassified non-coding RNA is filed under the name Hevea brasiliensis (rubber tree). Lineage: Eukaryota; Viridiplantae; Streptophyta; Magnoliopsida; Malpighiales; Euphorbiaceae. The record is from RNAcentral.